CCUACGGGAGGCUGCAGUGGGGAAUAUUGCACAAUGGAGGAAACUCUGAUGCAGCGACGCCGCGUGAGCGAUGAAGGAAUUCGUUUCGUAAAGCUCUGUCCUAGGGGACGAUAAUGACGGUACCCUAGGAGGAAGCCCCGGCUAACUACGUGCCAGCAGCCGCGGUAAUACGUAGGGGGCGAGCGUUGUCCGGAAUUAUUGGGCGUAAAGGGUACGCAGGCGGCCAUGUAAGUCAGAUGUGAAAGAUCACGGCUUAACCGUGGUAAGCAUUUGAAACUGCUUGGCUUGAGUUAAGGAGAGGAAAGUGGAAUUCCUAGUGUAGCGGUGAAAUGCGUAGAUAUUAGGAAGAAUAUCAGUGGCGAAGGCGACUUUCUGGACUUAUACUGACGCUGAGGUACGAAAGCGUGGGGAGCAAACAGGAUUAGAUACCCCUGUAGUC
RNAcentral lists this ribosomal RNA (439 nucleotides) under uncultured Clostridium sp. RNAcentral describes it as "bacterial SSU rRNA". It matches the Rfam family "Bacterial small subunit ribosomal RNA", at positions 338 to 795 of the family's 1533-position model. The record is from RNAcentral. Lineage: Bacteria; Bacillati; Bacillota; Clostridia; Eubacteriales; Clostridiaceae.